AUUGAACGCUGGCGGAAUGCUUUACACAUGCAAGUCGAACGGCAGCACGGACUUCGGUCUGGUGGCGAGUGGCGAACGGGUGAGUAAUGUAUCGGAACGUGCCCAGUCGUGGGGGAUAACGUAGUGAAAAUUACGCUAAUACCGCAUACGAUCUAUGGAUGAAAGCGGGGGAUCGCAAGACCUCGCGCGAUUGGAGCGGCCGAUAUCAGAUUAGGUAGUUGGUGGGGUAAAGGCCCACCAAGCCAACGAUCUGUAGCUGGUCUGAGAGGACGACCAGCCACACGGGAACUGGGACACGGUCCAGGCUUCUACGGGAGGCAGCAGUGGGGAAUUUUGGACAAUGGGCGAAAGCCUGAUCCAGCCAUUCCGCGUGCAGGAUGAAGGCCCUCGGGUUGUAAACUGCUUUUGUACAGAACGAAAAGGUUUCUACUAAUACUAGGAGCUCAUGACGGUACUGUAAGAAUAAGCACCGGCUAACUACGUGCCAGCAGCCGCCGUAA
RNAcentral lists this ribosomal RNA (500 nucleotides) under uncultured bacterium. Its description in RNAcentral is "partial 16S ribosomal RNA". It matches the Rfam family "Bacterial small subunit ribosomal RNA", at positions 30 to 523 of the family's 1533-position model. The record is from RNAcentral.